RNAcentral lists this ribosomal RNA (163 nucleotides) under Lophogyne ceratophylla. RNAcentral describes it as "5.8S ribosomal RNA". It matches the Rfam family "5.8S ribosomal RNA". From Rfam's summary of the family: 5.8S ribosomal RNA (5.8S rRNA) is a component of the large subunit of the eukaryotic ribosome. It is transcribed by RNA polymerase I as part of the 45S precursor that also contains 18S and 28S rRNA. The record is from RNAcentral. Lineage: Eukaryota; Viridiplantae; Streptophyta; Magnoliopsida; Malpighiales; Podostemaceae.
AAACGACUCUUGGCAACGGAUAUCUCGGCUCUUGCAUCGAUGAAGAACGUAGCGAAAUGCGAUACUUGGUGUGAAUUGCAGAAUCCCGUGAAUCAUCGAGUCUUUGAACGCAAGUUGCGCCCGAAGCCUUUUGGCCGAGGGCACGUCUGCCUGGGCGUCAUGA